Molecule: small nucleolar RNA, 209 nt
Organism: Jaculus jaculus (lesser Egyptian jerboa)
Lineage: Eukaryota; Metazoa; Chordata; Mammalia; Rodentia; Dipodidae
Gene: U3
Rfam family: Small nucleolar RNA U3
About the family: Small nucleolar RNAs (snoRNAs) are involved in the processing and modification of rRNA in the nucleolus.
Source: Ensembl
AAGACUAUACUUUCAGGGAUCAUUUCUACAGUUCCUUACUAGAGAAGUUUCUCUGACUGUGUAGAGUCCCCAAAACCACAAGGAGGAGGAGCAGUGUUUUCUCGUGAAGCUGGCCCUGGGUGUUGUUUUGUGCCAGUGCCCAUCACCACUGAUGCCCGUUCUUCUCACCCCAUGGGAGAGUUAGAGGGAGGGAAUGCUGUCUGAGUGGC